Molecule: long non-coding RNA, 370 nt
Filed under: Danio rerio (zebrafish)
Lineage: Eukaryota; Metazoa; Chordata; Actinopteri; Cypriniformes; Danionidae
Description: si:dkey-23p11.4 (ENSDARG00000097381.3)
Source: RNAcentral
AUUACGAACACCUGACCUGCAGUGCAGCAGAAUUCAGAGGUCCAGUUGAGGGGCAUCAAGAACACGCAGAUGGCCUAAACCUGUGUCAGCCUGGACAGACUGCAGUUCUGCUACUCCAUGCCAAGGCUUUUGUAUGGAUGUCUUGACUGCUACUGUGUUCUCUAAAGGUUUUCUGGAAGCUCCAUUUGAGGGCAUCAAGGACAUACUGAUGGCCUAAACCAGUGUCAGCCUAGACAGACAGACAUCUAUUGCAGUUCUGCUACACAAGACCAAACUCUCUGCUUUUGUAUGGAUGUCUGACUAGUACGGUGUUCUCUAAAGGUAUAACUGGAGCAAAACAACAGCAUCCGUUACAGUGAAAUUUGUGUUC